RNAcentral lists this ribosomal RNA (498 nucleotides) under uncultured bacterium. RNAcentral describes it as "partial 16S ribosomal RNA". It matches the Rfam family "Bacterial small subunit ribosomal RNA", at positions 28 to 508 of the family's 1533-position model. The record is from RNAcentral.
GAUGAACGCUGGCGGCGUGCCUAAUACAUGCAAGUCGAGCGAACAGACGAGGAGCUUGCUCCUCUGACGUUAGCGGCGGACGGGUGAGUAACACGUGGAUAACCUACCUAUAAGACUGGGAUAACUUCGGGAAACCGGAGCUAAUACCGGAUAAUAUAUUGAACCGCAUGGUUCAAUAGUGAAAGACGGUUUUGCUGUCACUUAUAGAUGGAUCCGCGCCGCAUUAGCUAGUUGGUAAGGUAACGGCUUACCAAGGCGACGAUGCGUAGCCGACCUGAGAGGGUGAUCGGCCACACUGGAACUGAGACACGGUCCAGACUCCUACGGGAGGCAGCAGUAGGGAAUCUUCCGCAAUAGGCGAAAGCCUGACGGAGCAACGCCGCGUGAGUGAUGAAGGUCUUCGGAUCGUAAAACUCUGUUAUUAGGGAAGAACAAAUGUGUAAGUAACUAUGCACGUCUUGACGGUACCUAAUCAGAAAGCCACGGCUAACUACGUGC